This 387-nucleotide long non-coding RNA is filed under the name Ananas comosus (pineapple). RNAcentral's name for it is "long non-coding RNA (ACOM_LNC037440)". Lineage: Eukaryota; Viridiplantae; Streptophyta; Magnoliopsida; Poales; Bromeliaceae. The record is from RNAcentral.
UGCGACGUAGGAAAUCGGAUUGCUGCGAAAUUUGGUUUGGUGGUUAGUAGACUUCUUGGAGAUUUCGUGGUGCCAAUUUGACAAUAUUUGAUUGAUGUUAGUUUGGUCAAAUUACUAUUUUUCUGAACUGUUGAUGUAUUUGGGCUGAAAUUGAGAUUUCUUGUGUUUUCUGGAUCAAACCUUUGAGGAAGCUGGAAUUCAGACCAGAGACGUGUUUUCAUCACUCUUUACUGGUUUUGGGACUUUACUUUACCUGAAUUGGAGAUUGGAAGGUGAAGUUGACAUUGAAAUUGAAGAAAAUUAAGCUUAAAUGCUGAAUUUUGGUAUAUUAAUGAAAUUUUGGUGUUUUUGUGUUUUAAUUCUAUUAGAAGAUUGUUGGUUCUAGGC